AUGAGAAAAUCGAAGAAAGAUGGAGGUCUCGGGUUUAAAGAGUUGCAUAGGUUUAAUUUGGCCAUGCUUGCAAAGCAGGCAUGGAGGAUCCUCACUAAACCAGAGUCCCUGUGUGCACGGAUUUUGAAAGCCAAGUACUUCCCAAACACCUCGAUCCUAGAGGCACAAGCUAAUCCGGGAAUCUCAUACACUUGGCGAAGUAUUCCAAAGGAGUCAAGUUGCUGA
Molecule: ribosomal RNA, 225 nt
Filed under: Triticum aestivum (bread wheat)
Lineage: Eukaryota; Viridiplantae; Streptophyta; Magnoliopsida; Poales; Poaceae
Description: partial small subunit ribosomal RNA
Source: RNAcentral